This is a long non-coding RNA of Hippocampus zosterae (dwarf seahorse), 1015 nucleotides long. RefSeq lists it as uncharacterized. The record is from RefSeq and is a predicted model, not a curated record. Lineage: Eukaryota; Metazoa; Chordata; Actinopteri; Syngnathiformes; Syngnathidae. The transcript has 2 exons.
UUAAAAACACACGCCACUAUACUUUUGAACCCGGGAUUUCGGAAUAUUCUAGAGAAAGCGUCCCUAAAUUUAAAUAAAAAUAACAUUUGACAUGUAGGAGUAGGCUAUCCGUUCGAUUCGUUUGUGGAGACCGCUACUCGAUCGGAACCACUCUCAAUUAACAAGAAAACACGGCGUUGAAAGAUUUAAAUUAAUCGUAAUAUGCUUCAAAUUUCAAUGUAUACCAAAUGGAAUGAGUCGUUAUUUGUAGUAGUUGUCUGCUUACCAGUAGCUGUCGUUUGUUUAGUUUUAUUUCCUUCCGUGUUUAGAGUUGUACCUGAUUCACCUGUUUGACGCAAUAAACUCCGCCUCUGCGGCCUCAAAUAAAAUUAGAGCAGUAAAUCUUUAACCAGCAGUCCGAUAGUUAAAAUGCGGGUUGGAGGUUGGUAUGGCACAGCAGACGGGAAAGAAAAGGCAGGCAAUUCUUUCAACAAAUACUGUACAAAUAUUGCACAGUGCGAUCAGGUGGAAAUAACCGUAGACGACGCCUCAACAUGCUGGUUGACAUUAUACGUCAACGUGUUCGCCAUCUUGCGGCAGUCACUUGACAAGACCUCAGCACUGAAACAGUCUGCCAGCCGUCACAACAGCUGCUUGUUCGCCAUAUGUGUUUGUGGCACUGUUAUCAGCAUUAAAUAUGUCCAUAUUUUUGGAAUGCACGGUGCGCAACACCUCAUGCACCUUAGACGAACUGUCACAGAAAUCACAAACGAUAAAGUGCUGUUUUAUGUGUACCUAUGUUGAGACUGGCCGCCUCUCACGUCCAUACUAAAAAUGCCAGAAAGUCCACAGAAAGCACAAUAUCAGUAGUGAAGUUAUGUCAAGAAGGAAAAACAAUGAUGGCAGCAAGAGGGUUACAAACGUCAAUGCAGCAGUGACAAUAAUGAAGGAAUGAACUUGUUUUUUUUUUUUCCUAUGAAGGACGCCAUUUAACACCUGGCAUGGACAGCCUUUCUCCGGCAUCUGGAUGACCAAA